AGCAACGUAGUUUAAAGAGUAGAAUUCCUUGGAGUAUACCAGGAGAUACGGGUGCAAUUCCCGUCGUUGCCC
RNAcentral lists this transfer RNA (72 nucleotides) under Nostoc punctiforme PCC 73102. It matches the Rfam family "tRNA". From Rfam's summary of the family: Transfer RNA (tRNA) molecules are approximately 80 nucleotides in length. Their secondary structure includes four short double-helical elements and three loops (D, anti-codon, and T loops). The record is from Rfam by way of RNAcentral. Lineage: Bacteria; Bacillati; Cyanobacteriota; Cyanophyceae; Nostocales; Nostocaceae.